CCGGAAGCUUCUCUAAGGAGCACGGAAAGAUUUCCCAUGGCGCUGUCCCCGGUCCCGGUCCCUUCCCGGUGGCAGAUGUGCCCAGGGAGGCUGGGACCCGGCGGACGAAGGAAAGGGGCGCUGGAGCCCUGAGUGCAUUUGCUUUCUGGACUGUAUCUGCCGCUCCUCAGAGACAGACUGAGUACCUCAGAUGCAAGAGCCUAUUAAAGGAGCUGGUGCUCACUCUGCAGGAUUCCCUGGAAUAGAGGGCACGCUUUGGGCCUGUCCGCAGUGGGGGAAGCACAUCCAGACCAGAGGGAAGUUCCUGGAUGACAGCUGAAGCCCAGUACGCUUUGGAGAGAGGACUGAGGGCCCAAGGAGGGAGAUUUCCCAGGAAAAAAAAAAGAUUUGAGAUUUGAUGCUAUCCCUGGUAUUGAUAAUUUGCAACAACUUAAAGAAGCAGGGCAGAUAAUGCAAGGAGAAAAGAAAAACAGAAGAUUUAAAGGAUUUCCCUGCUGGUCCAGUGGCUCGGCGACUCAAGGUGAGUGACGGGUGCCGCAAGCUUGAAGAAGACACAGACACAGACUGAAGAGAAAGAUGGGACCGGGGGACUCAAGACCUCUAGGAUCAAGCGCUCCACUGACUCAUCCCAGGCUGCUUUUAUUGAGUUCGUGGGCUAACAUUCUCAGGUUACACUCAUAAACAGUCAAAGGCCUCACAUGAUUGAGGCAAUUAUCUUUGUUUACUUCCUGGGUCCGAGCUGAGCAGGUGUGGAUUUGAGCUGGGUGUGGAGAGCAAAACAGCCCUGGGGGCAGGAGACCUCUCUCAGAUAUUGGGGGUCUGUGCCCCACCCGUGUUGGCCCCUCUGCGACUGUGCCUGUCUUAGGUUGUUCCUCCCUUGAGGAAUCUUACCCGUCUCUGGCUAACCAGUCCUCCUCCAGGGCCAAACACGGUGAUAUAAGGAAGGCUCUAUGCACCACCCCUGUUGGCCCCUCUGCGGCUGUGCCUGUCUUAGGUUGUUCCUCCUCUGAGGAAUCUUACCCGUCUUUGGCUAACCAGCCAUCCCUCAGGACCAAACAGGGUGAUAUUAGUCUCCACGCCCCGCACCCUCAGCUCCUCCACUGCUCAAGCAGGACAUUCUGAAUCCCAUCGCUCGGCCCACAUACUUCAACACUUUCAAUGCUUCAAAAAGGUUCCAGAAUGUCUUCCCACAAUUUACCUUUAUUGGCUGUGUUGGGUCUUCAUUGCUGCACAUGGGCUCUCUCUAGUUGCUGCGAGUGGGGGCUACUCUUCAUUGUGGUUCGCAGGCUCCUCAUUGUGGUGGUUUCUCUUGUUGCGGAGCAGGGGCUCUAGGGCGCAUGGGCUUCAGUAGUUGCAGCACAUGGGCUCAGUAGUGACGCAUGGGCUUAGUUGCUCCCCAGCAUGUGGGAUCUUCUUGGGGUAGGGAUUGAACCCGUAUCCCCUGCAUUGACAGGCGGAUUCUUAAUCACUGAGCCACCAGGGAAGUCCCCAGGUUUCUUUUCGUGAUGAUGAAAAUCAUGCUUUGUAAAUAGGCGGUGAUGAUGGUCACACAACGCUGUAAAUGUAAUUAAUGCUACUGAAUUGUAAACUUAAAAAUGGUUAAAACUUUUUGCCAUAUAUAUUUUACCACAAUAAAAAAUUAUGUAUUGACUGGAAAGGGCUCACGAAGAAACAU
This is a long non-coding RNA of Hippopotamus amphibius kiboko, 1675 nucleotides long. RefSeq lists it as uncharacterized. Lineage: Eukaryota; Metazoa; Chordata; Mammalia; Artiodactyla; Hippopotamidae. The record is from RefSeq and is a predicted model, not a curated record. The transcript has 3 exons.